UGGAAGUGAACCAUCUCAGUACCCGCAGGAAGAGAAAACAACAGUGAUUCCGUGAGUAGUGGCGAGCGAAAGCGGAAGAGGCUAAACCGUAUCCGUGUGAGAGCCGGCAGGCGUUGCGGGUGCGGGGUCGUGGGACCCACCGGUCCGGGCUGCCGCCCGGGCGGGGAGUGAGAAAGUGUCGUGGUUAGCGGAAGGCGUCUGGAAAGCGUCGGCGUAGAGGGUGAGACUCCCGUACGCGAAAACCCGGCAUCUCCUGGUGGGGAUCCCAAGUAGCAGCGAGCCCGUGAAAUUCGCUGUGAAUCCGGCGGGACCACCCGCUAAGCCUGAAUACUCCCUGAUGACCGAUAGCGGACGAGUACCGUGAGGGAAAGGUGAAAAGUACCCCGGGAGGGGAGUGAAAGAGUACCUGAAACCGUGUGCCUACAAGCCGUCAGAGCCUCGGGGUCCCCACGUGUGGGGGCCGGUGGGGUGAUGGCGUGCCUUUUGAAUAAUGAGCCGGCUAGUUA
This 506-nucleotide ribosomal RNA is filed under the name uncultured Actinomycetes bacterium. Its description in RNAcentral is "bacterial LSU rRNA". It matches the Rfam family "Bacterial large subunit ribosomal RNA", at positions 188 to 630 of the family's 2925-position model. Lineage: Bacteria; Bacillati; Actinomycetota; Actinomycetes. The record is from RNAcentral.